This 587-nucleotide ribosomal RNA is filed under the name uncultured bacterium. Its description in RNAcentral is "partial 16S ribosomal RNA". It matches the Rfam family "Bacterial small subunit ribosomal RNA", at positions 355 to 1375 of the family's 1533-position model. The record is from RNAcentral.
UGGGGAAUUUUGGACAAUGGGCGAAAGCCUGAUCCAGCAAUGCCGCGUGUGUGAAGAAGGCCUUCGGGUUGUAAAGCACUUUUGUCCGGAAAGAAAUCCUUGGCUCUAAUACAGUCGGGGGAUGACGGUACCGGAAGAAUAAGCACCGGCUAACUACGUGCCAGCAGCCGCGGUAAUACGUAGGGUGCAAGCGUUAAUCGGAAUUACUGGGCGUAAAGCGUGCGCAGGCGGUUUGCUAAGACCGAUGUGAAAUCCCCGGGCUCAACCUGGGAACUGCAUUGGUGACUGGCAGGCUAGAGUAUGGCAGAGGGGGGUAGAAUUCCACGUGUAGCAGUGAAAUGCGUAGAGAUGUGGAGGAAUACCGAUGGCGAAGGCAGCCCCCUGGGCCAAUACUGACGCUCAUGCACGAAAGCGUGGGGAGCAAAACAGGAUUAGAUACCCUGGUAGUCCACGCCCUAAAACGAUGUCAACUAGUUGUCGGGGAUUCAUUUCCUUAGUAACGUAGCUAACGCGUGAAGUUGACCGCCUGGGGAGUACGGUCGCAAGAUUAAAACUUAAAUGAAUUGACGGGGUCAUAGCUGUUUCCU